AAAAAAGGGGAUGGAUGAUACCCUUCUCUAGAGAUAGCAGCGGUGCAAAAAGAGAGAAUCCUCUCUCCUUCCUGAUGGCACUCAUCUGAUAAUGCACUAGCGAGGAUUCCCAACUUCCUUCUUCUGAAAAUCUAGCUUUCAAACACACAAAGAUCCCUAAUCUCUCUAUUUAAAAAGAAAUCGCUAAUCUCUGCAUUUUUAGAAAGAAAGAACCUAGUUACUAGUUUCUGUUCAUUUGUCGCACAUUUUCUGGGUUUGUAGAAGUUGAUGGAGCUGUUUGAAGUGCUGAAUCUGCCGAUUUCCGCUAGCAGUAGCCGAGCCCUUUCAUUGAUUGUUUGGUAUGUCAUUCCUUAGUUAUUUGUUGCCUCUAGGUAUGUAAGAUAUCCAUCAUUUUGUUCUCUUUGUUUAAAUUAAUGGAAGUGUUUGCUACUUAAUGUUUUCGAUUACUUAUUUAAUUUAAUCUAUUGUUACAUUAUAUGAAUCGAUGUUUAUAAUUAUCAUAUGUCUAAUGCAAAUUCACAUGUGAUUCUGUUGGUUUUCAUUAAAUGCAUGUCAUCUUUUUUGUGGGAUUUGCACAAUUUGUAGUUAUGUGUUUCUUUGCACUGGUUUGGGAAAAGCAUUUAUAAAAAUAAAGUAUAUUGUUAGUUGUUGUUGCUCCAACAAUAAAUCAUCUUUGUGAGGGUUGCAGUUCAUGCAUUUUAGAACCUUACUUGGACAGAAUUGUGAGUAAAUUAAUCGCCCUUAUCCAGAUAGGCAGUCUUAUAGCAAAAUUAUGCUCUAGACAAUUUAUAGUAUGUUGGACAAUGAAUUUAAUGAAGUGUUUAGCGUAGAUAUACAAUUGUAAUAUGCUUUUGAUUACGCAUUUGGGCCUAAAUCUACCGAAUUUAAAAUAAACAUUGUUCAGCCUUUUCUUAAUAUAAGACUUUGUAUUGUGUAAUACUUGUCUACAUUGCGGAUAAUAUGAAUCACUUGUAUUAGUUAGUAUUGUCUUUUGUUUGCUCAGUAUUUCCUUGAUUAAUGUGUUUAGCGUGCUUCAUGUUUCCAAAUUUUGUUUUUAAUAUUAAGUUAAAGUUAGAUACACUGUAUGCAAUGUUGCCUUUUAUUUAUGGAAGCAAUCUCUUUAAUGCUCAAACUUUGUAUCUGGAUCGUUAGCUUGAAGUUUGCCUUCGUAUGAUUUUUUUUCUUUUUGUAUUUGUACCCUUUUUGAAUAACUUGAAGCGUGCCAUAUUAAGCAAGAUAUAAUUUAUGUCCCUCAAAAGAUUAGUUCAAACAUCCUUUAAAAUUAGACUUGAGAUAUGCCAUAGUGCAAAAUUAGACAACCCAUGGCCUUCGGGUAAUUAAUACUAACUAUUUAGAAAUCGAGGUGUGCCAUCAGUUGAAUUUUUCAUGGCCCUCGCAAACUUGAAAGUGCGUAGUUGCUUUAGGCACUCUAUUUAAAUUAAUUUUCUUAAACUCGGGUGUGCAUUUCAUGUGACCCAAAUCCAAAUCUCAACAACGUUAAAUAAAAUAUGUCUCGGACUGCGGGUGCAUUUCAUGUGGCGUGAUCCAAAGACGCAUUUUAGAUGACGUUGAAAUCUUUCUUAAAAUAAUUGAAAGCGGAUUAAUAAGUUAAAAUAUACCAUAGGCUAAAACAUGUAUUAGAAUCAGAUAAUAGGUCAAUUAUGAUAGUUUAAGUGACCAUGCUAGAACCACGGAAUCCAGGGGUACUUGACACCUUCCCUCGGGUUAAUAGAAUUCCUUAUUCAGAAUUUCUGGUUCGUAGACUUCAAAAGGAAAGUCAAAUUUUUCCUCGAUUUGGGAUUUUAAAAUAAACCAGUGACUUGGGACACCAGCAAAUAAACCAUCCCAAGUGGCGACUCUGAACAAAAAUGAAUAAAUAAUCUCAUUUCGAAUAAUAUCACUUAAAUUGGAAAAACUCCCUUAUACCCUUCCGGGUUGUAGGAAAAAGGAGGUGUGACAACUUUGGCGACUCUGUUGGGGACAAGAACCCAGAACUUUGGGUUCAGGGUUCAGAAUUCGAGCUUAGAUGAAUUGUUAUAGUUGGCUUUAUUUAUUAUCUGAUUUUGUUUGGGCCUAAUGUACUAAAUGUUGCUUUUACCGCUUUGAUAUUCUGUGAACCGUAUAUAAACUGCUACGAAACCCUUCUUCUCUCUGAGUCUUCUAAAUCAUGGAGAAGGGUUCACUUCGUGUGACUUUUCUUCUGUCUAGAGUCUUAUCCCGUUUUAGAACGAGGUUCGGACAAGUUGCAAAGCCGGUGAAGCUUCUGUAUUCCCGGUACACUGCGCCCCCGGCUCGAGUUGUCCGCUCGGGUAAUCCAGGUCUAGAACAAUAAACCCAGGUUUUAAACCUAGUAUAACAAAGCCUCAUGCCGGAUCCCUAUUAGGAACGUUUGCUUGCAUCACGUGCAUUUGACUUUGGAGACUCAACACAGGGGUUGGCUCUGCUUAGGACAGGUAUACCCGAAAUGAAAAGACCAUCCUGAUGCAUCCUACUUGCUACUUGUGUACUUAUUUGCUUCGGAUUUGCAUGUUGACCGGCUUAUGGAUGGUUAGAGGAUAGUUGGAAAAGAAAAAUCAAAGUGAGGACUCAGGGAGAUAAUUACUUGUUUUGAAAAAUCAAUGUCCAAAAAAUAUACUGAAACUCUGCCAAAAUUCUGAAAACAAAAAUUUGUUUUUUUUUUAAAAAAAAUAAAAAUAUAUUUGGUUUUAUUUUCGUCAAAUCUGCCCGAACUACGCCAGUUUGAUUCUCACUGAAUUUGGGAUACGUAGGCAACCCCCAUCGGGUCCAACUUCCUUUUUGCAAAAAUAGCUCAAAAGGCACCAAAAUUUUAUUACUUUGUUGGAAAUAAGUAAGGUGAAGCCAUUCUUCUCGAAAAUAGUCGAAUGUCCCCAAAAGGACGCCAAAAGGCUAUUUUUGCAAGAACAACCACCUUUGGCCUCUUUUUUGGCAUUUUGGCCGAUUAGCAAGCACAACCUUAAAAUCGUUUCCCCGGAAGUGCUGAAAGGUCGUAUUUGCAAAGCCGAGUUUUAUUUUGAAAGAAAAAUUUGAAAAAAGAGAGAGAAAAAAACCUUGUUCACUUUGUUUUUAAGUCAAAUGAGUCUUGAUUUUGCUUAAUCACCUUAACAAAUGUGCAGAAUGAGCACGAGUCAAAGUUUGUCAAUAACAGUCAUGAACAAGAUCCCUUUAGAGUUGCAUAUAUGGUGGGAAGAUCUGGGUAAAUAAGAGCAAGAUAAGGUCAAUCUACAUUUGGGAGAUCUCACCGGGUUAUUGAAGAUCAGGCCUAGAGGAGACAUCAUAAAGGCAUUGGUUAUGUUUUGGGACCCAACUCAUAAUGUCUUGCAGUUCUCGGAUUUUGAACUCACACCAACCUUAAAAGAGAUAGCAGGUUAUAUGGGAAGUACUGAAGGUCUGAGGCAUAAGUAUCUGAUCGCUCCAAGAGCUGUUAACUCUCACAAAUUCAUGGAUUUGCUAAAAAUAAGCAAAGGAAUCCCGUACUCUUAGUUGGCAGACAGUUUUUUCACUCUAAGUUUCAUAUACCAGAGGUACGGGUAUGUAGGAGGAUUCGACAACCCGGAAAGCGGGGUUCGUAGCAAAGCGAACCGAGCAAAAUGGGAUGAGCAUAGACGUUUCGCCUUCAUGGUAGCUUUCUUAGGCCUCUUGGUGUUCCCCCGGAAAGAUGGGAAUAUCGAUCUAGGGGUGGCUGGAGUCGUCAAAGUCUUGAUUACCAAUGCCAAGAGCACCCUUGCCCCUAUGAUAGUGUCUGAGAUAUACCGAGCCCUCACAGCUUGUAAAGUUGGGGCAAAUUUCUUCGAGGGAUGCAAUUUGCUACUACAGAUGUGGAUGAUCGAACACCUAUGUCGCCGCCCUCAGUAUAUAAGUUAUGGGUCCACAGAGAAAAGUUGCAUUGAAGAGUUCGACACAAGGAUUUCAGGGUUCAAAUUACCAGAAGGGUUUGGAGAUUGGGUAUCCCGCCUUCGCUCCAUCACUGGGGGGAAAAUAGAAUGGACAUUGGGUUGGCUUCCUGUUGAAGAAAUUGUGUAUAUGCCCGCCACCGGUCCUUACUUCCUUCUAAUGGGUCUUCGAGGCAUUCAGCCUUACGCUCCGUACCGGGUGAUGAGACAGUUGGGAAAGUUCCAGGUGACGCACCCAGAUGAAGAUCUUAGUGUUUAUGCGGUCGAGGUUAGCUCCGACACCCAAUUUCAUGAAGAAACAGUUUGUUCUAUUUGGAACGAGUGCUAGUAUUUGACAGUGAACACUCGAGUGCAUGACCUACCUAUAAGCGAGGUCUCACCCGCUUACCUUGCCUAAUAUAGAAAGAAGAACACUGCAAGGGCCGAACCGGAAAGACCAGCCAAAAAUCCUAAUAUUCAGGAAUUCGUUGAGGCGUCGCAAGAACAAUGGGCUUGGUUGGCCAAGGAAAAUGAGUACAGGGCCACAACAGGAAAGCUAGAAAAGCAAGUCAGGGAUCUUCAGUUUGAGAAUGGUUUGCAGGCCACCGCAGAUGAGGGCGAUAAGAGAAAGUUAGCCAAAGAAAAUGACGCUCUUCGAGCCCAGAUUCGAGAAAUUAAAACAGCAGCUGAAAAUCCCGCCAGAAGUGCAAAGGAUGAAAAGCUUAUAAAGAACCUUAGGAAGAAGGUGGAUGAGUAUGGUUUUGAUUUGAACAAAGCAGAGGGUGAACUAGCAAGAGCUCGAACAAAAUUGGCUAAGAAUGUGGAAGAACGAGUGCUCCUGGUUAAACAGUUAAAAGAGAAAUACGACAAUGAUAUUGCAGGGUUGAAGAAAAGGGUCAUCACUGUUGAGAACAAAAUGAUCAAGCAGGUGAAAGACUUUAAGGCUGAAAGAGAACAAUUUUAUACAGCAAUGGCACAGUUAGAAAGAGAUUUGCAACAACUCCAAGAACAGAAUCAUGUAGCCGAACAAACUUUGGAAGCCAGGGCCCAGCAGAUUGGGAGUUUGUUGCAAGAAAAGGGUGUCAUAAGAGAGAGAGUCAGAAGGAUCGCCGACUACAUCGCGAUGAAGUGCAGUAGUUGUGAGGAUAUGACUAGAUCCAUGUUCUUUGCCACCGUGAUGACCUUUGUCCGCCAGAUAAUGGAAGAUCUCUACCACCUCCAAGGGGAUUUAGCACGUAGGCCCGUGGCGAGAUCGAAUGAUGUUCCGCGGGCCCCAGAAGCAGUUUUAGGCGUUGAUGUAUUCGUGAUUUUCCUUGGAGCCUGUGAGUAUGUUUUCGAGUCUGUAUUUUCGUUUUUUUAGAGUUUAUCAAUUCCUUUUUCUUAAGUCUAUUAGUUUUUAUGAUUAAAAUCGGUAGGAUGGAUCGUUGUAGUCAAAACGUUUAUUCUAUGAAAAAAUUUGAAAAUCCCAAAAUAUUUUAUUAUUUACUUUUAUACAUAUCCCCCAGAACUACGUUUGCUCUGAUUCAUGCGGGGUUAUGAUAUGUAGGCAAUCUCCAUAGGAUUUGAUCAUAACCAAGAAAAAAAGAGAAGAAAAAAAAAGAAAAGAAAAAAAGAAAAAAAAAGGAAAAACAAGAGAGAAAAGAAAAGAAAAAGAGAGAGAAAGCAAGAAACUGUGGGAAGGAAACAAUGGCAAAGCAAGAGGGAGAAAUAAGAGAAUAAAGAGCAACGAGAAAUCAAGCAAAGAAAGGCAUGAGUGAAAAAAAACGGAGAGAGAGGAAGAAGUUGCAAAUGGAAAUUUGGGAAAGCCGGGGUGACGCAAGCAACCGAUCAAAUGCAUAAUAGAAAUGGUUAACUGCUUAGGUGCAUUGCAUCCCCACUGUGCGGUUGUCUAUCUGUUAAAUACCCUAACGCUAACGGGAUGACCCCAUUUUGUUCCUUUUGAUAUCUUCAUAGCAGAAAGGUGGUUGGUUACCACGGAAAACAUUCAGAACAUCCCAUGGAGAAAGAGAAAUAGAAAAGAUGAUCCGCUGGGCAUUCCUGCUCAACACUCUCAGCCUCGACAUCGGCCCCAUGGAUAUCCUUGUGCACCAGACGACCCUCCCCAAUGUUACUUCUCUCCACAGGACCCCCAAAGUCGUACAUCACUUUCCCAGUACCCUGUCCACAAUGCACCACCAUAUGCUCCACACCCAGGAGGCCCGCGAUGGCCCAUACCACUUCCCCAAAUGUCUUACCCACCCCCUCAAACAUAUCAGCCACCUGCCCGCAAAAGGUUCCAACCGAGGCCAGAAUAUAAACUGAAAAGGCUACUAAAAAAAGAGAAGGCUCUCACCCCUAUUGGAGAAUCAUAUGCCAGUUUGUUUCAAAGGUUGAUGCAAUUGGACAUGUUGAAGCCGAUUCAGAUUAAAAUGCUGAACCCUCUGCCAAAGAAGUUUGAUUUUUCUCAAAGGUGCGCAUAUUGCUCCGAUGCCCCGGGUCACAGUACAGAAAAGUGUUGGCACCAGAAAAAAGCAAUUGAGAAGCUUAUUGAUGCAGGUGACAUUGCGUGCAAAAUCCAGAUGCAACAGACACUAGCCAGAGACCAUCACCUGUGCAUAAUGAGACGCAUAUGGUGGGUACGAUUAAUUUUGAAAAGGAAUAUGAGAAUUCUUCUAAGAUCCUCGGAGGUCCACGUGCUACGAAGCUUUCAGCUCUAUUAGAGGUUGAUCCUAAGAACGAGCAGGCACAUGGAACCCAAAAGCAAUUUGUUAAGAACAAUGUGAUGGAGACUUGUGAAGGUCCCGGUAUUAUUGAUGCAGAAGUCAGCGGCAAAGAUGUUAAGUUUGAUGAUUGGAAAGAUGCUCUUUUCUUAGUUAGCCAAGGGGAGUUUUGGUGGUUUAGUUUGUUGUCAUUUCUGUUGUCCGAUUUGUUUUCAGGGUUGUAAUCCGGAUAUUGUCUUCUGACUCAAACCCUUCUAUCCUUUUAUUUUGCCUAAUUUGUUUAGUCGUAGUAGCUCGUUUAGUGUUGUCUAGGUUUGUUCCAGGUUUGUAACCCCAGUUUAGUUUACUUGUUCUGUUGUUCAAGCCCUUUCACCAUCUGUCUAAUGCAAUUUUCUAUUUUCUGUCAUUUUUGUUUAGUUCUCUUUUCUUUUAAAAGUUCUUUUCCUGUUGACUCUAGUGACAUGACAUGCACGCAUAACUCCCAGCCUGGUCUUGAAAAGUCAGUUUAGUCAUGAAGCAAUGGAACAAUUUUGAAGAAGAUAGGGACAUUUGAGGGAAAUAAGUAAAGGCAUUUUAUAUUACUUCAAGCCCGAAUUGUGUGAAACUGGGGCAGAUAGAACAUAAAGAAACCCUAUUGAAAUGCAUCAUGACGCAUCGGGUUGAAUCUAAAGGCAAGUUUGCCCAAAUUAAUAGGGGUCGUUCGUGGUAAUGAGAGUAAGAGUGUUGUCCAAUGGUGUUUUGUAUUUAACAGAUUUUCACGACCCCAAUCCCGAUCAUGAUGGCGCCCAACACGAUGCUAGGCAAGCCCGACCAAUUACCACUCACAAUCCCUUCUUAUUGGAAUUCAUUACCAAUUUUCAGAAAUAGAUACCAAUUUAAUAUAAGUAGAAGUCUGAAAUAAAAUAUUGAAAUAUGCGAAAAGCCAUAAUGAAAUCUCUACAAAUGCCCAAUGAUCUGGUGUCACAAGUCUGAGCCUAUAAUACAAGGUUUCAACAGCCUAAUGUAGAAAUAUAUCUAAAAUGUGGAAUAGUAAAGAAAGAUAGAGGGAGAAAUCGGGUCUGCGGACGCCAUGCAGCUACCGCAAUAACUCCGAUGAAAAACUGAACGGCAGGAAAGCUCACUCUACACCUCAGGGACACCUGUACCUGCACACAUGGUGCAGGGAGUAAUGUGAGUACUCCGACCCACUGAGUAAUAACAAUAAAUGAUGGUUGACGGUAUGAAAUCACGUAAGGGCACUAAGCAGUUCUAUAUCAAAGUAGUAAAACCAUUUAAAGAGCGAGUAGUAAAUAAAAUUGAAUGAAACUCUUUGAACCAGGUGAAAACAGGUAGUUUGAUAGGCAUUAAUCCAGUAUAAAUCCUCUCCUCGAGCAUUUCUGUUCAUUUACUUAUUUCUUACCCUCAAUAUUCAAUUCAUAUACUUCUCACAAUAACCUAAAUCGAAACAUAUACAUAUACCGCUACGACAUGCAACCCGAUCCGUAUAUCGUUGUGGCGUACAACCCGAUCCAUAAUAAUAAUAAUAGUCAACUGCGCUCACUGGGGGUGUGUAGACUCCGGAGGGGCUCCUACAACCCAAACGCUAUAUUGCUGCAGCGUGUAUUCCAGUCCAUAUAUAUAUAUAUAUAUAUUUACAUAUUUGCUGCGGCGCGCAGCCCGGUCCAUAUAAGUAUUUGUUGCGGCGUGCAGGCCGAUCCAAUAUCAUAUAUAAUAUCCUCACUAUUGGGUCCUCAACCCCUCUCAGUCAUUAUAAUCACAGCCUCUCGGACACAAUAAUAUAAGGUAGGGAUCUCAGCCCACAUAUUUCUUUCAUUUAUGAUUAACAUUUCAUAACUCGGUUCAUAUCAUUUUUUUAAACAAUUAAAAACAUGACCGAGGAUAUGAUUUUUAGCAAAUAAGUGAGGAAAACCAGUCAAAAAUCCCAUAAGGGUUCUACAGGUCGGCACAAGGCUCAACAAGGGCACAGUAAGCUGGCUGAUUUUGGAUUUUCACCAGAAUGGGAUCAAUGAAAUUCUUGUCGGGAUGCUGUAUCAUAGAUGAAAGGAUGGCCAAUGCAUCAGCGAACUCAUUUUGGAUUCUGGAAACAUGCUGGAAUUCUGUCUUUGUGAACCUCUUUCUCAAUUCCUCUACGUUAUGCAGAUAGGGGAGUAUCUUGGAGUUCUUAGUUGCCCAUUCUUCUCGUACCUAAUGUAUAAGUAAGUCCGAAGCUCCAAUCACUAGUAGCUCUUGAAUGUUCAUGUCAAUGGCCAUUUUGAGCCCUAAUAUGCAGGCUUCAUACUCGGCCAUAUUGUUGGUGCAGGGUAACCUGAGUUUGGUAGACACUGGAUAAUGCUGACCAGUUUCUGAUAUUAAGAUUUAUCCUAUGCCAACUCCUUUGAAGUUUGCUACUCCAUCGAAGAACAUUCUCCAACCGUCAUAGGAUUCCGCAAUGUCUUCUCCUAUAAAUGAUACCUUUUCAUCAGGAAAAUACAUUUUCAGGGGUUCGUAUCCUCCAUCCAUGGGAUUUUCAGCAACGUGGUCUGCCAGUGCCUAUCCCUUGACCGCUUUCUGAGUUACGUAAACAAUAUUGAACUCACUCAAUAGGAUUUGCCACUUGGAUAGCUUGCCGGUAGGCAUGGUCUUCUGAAAGAUGUACUUCAAAGGAUCCAUCCUCGAUAUGAGAUAUGUAGUAUAGGUGAAGAAGUAAUGUCUUAGAUUCUGAGCUACCAAAGUCAAAGCACAACAUGUGCGUUCCAAUAGAGAAUACCGAGCCUCGUACAGGGUGAACUUUUUAUUGAGAUAAUAAAUGGCUUGCUCCUUCCUCCCCGUUUCAUCAUGCUACCCCAGAACGCAGUCGAAAGGUCUAUCUAACACUGUAAGGUAUAGCAAUAAGGGUGUACUUGGCUCGGUUGGGACUAAGAUUGGUGGUGUUGAUAGGUACUCCUUGAUUUCGUCGAAGGCCUUUUGGCAGUCAUCGGUCCAUUUGGUGGCCGCAUCCUUUUUUAAACUCUUAAAGAUUGACUCAUAGAUAACUGUAGAUUGUGCUAUGAAUUAGCUGAUGUAGUUAAGCCUUCCCAAGAAACUCAUCACAUCCUUCUUGUUCUUUGGCGGUGGUAGUUCUUGAAUGGAUUUGACUUUCGAUAGAUCCAGUUCUAUUCCUCGGCGGCUCAUAAUAAACCCAAGCAAUUUCCCAGUAGGAACCCCAAAUGCGCACUUUGUGGGGUUUAGUUUCAGGUUGUACCUCCGCAGUCUAUUGAAGAACUUCCUCAGAUCUUCUAUGUAGUUAGUGGCGUUCUUGGAUUUGAUAAUAACAUCAUCCACAUAUACCUCUAUCUCCUUGUGUAUCAUAUCAUGGGAAAUGGUAGUCAUGGCCCUCAUGUAGGUGGCCCUGCAUUCUUCAGGCCGAAUGGUAUUAUCUUGUAAUAGUACACUCCCUACGGCGUAAUGAAAGUCAUUUUCUCAGCAUCUUCCUCAUCCAUCCAGAUCUGAUGAUAACCAGCGAAGCAAUCCACGAAUGAUUGUAACUCAUGCUUGGCACAGUUGUAAAUCAGGAUGUGUAUAUUUGGCAAAGGGAAGUCGUCUUUCGGACUGGCCCGGUUGAGAUCCCGGUAGUCGACACAGACUCUGACAUUCCCAUCCUUCUUAGGUACUGGCACAAUGUUGGCUAACCAUGUCGGGUAUUCUACUACCCUGAGAACCUUAGCCUUGAUCUGCUUGGUGACUUCUUCCUUGACUUUCAAACUCAUAUCAGGCUUGAACUUGCUGAGUUUUUGCUUUACAGGUGAACACAUUGGAUCAGUUGGCAGUUUGUGAGCAACAAUAGAUGUAUUCAGACCAGUCAUGUCAUUAUACGACUAGGCGAAUAUGUCCUCAUACUCCUUUAGAAAUUUUGUGUAUUCUUUCUUUUCCGAUAGCGAUAGGUGAAUGUUGAUUUGUCUUUCCAUGAUGUUUUCUGCAUCUCCCAGGUUGACAAUCUCGGUCUCUUCCAAGUUGGACUUAAGUCUGUUCUUAAAGUUCUCAACUUCUUUGACAAUCUAGUCAGGUAUGUCAUCUUCCUCUGAAUCAAUGUCUGUUUGUUGUGUUGUCUCAUUAAAUGUCACAGUCAUUGGCUCAUCAAGAUAAGUAAUAGUAAUCUUGUAUUGGUAAAGCAAGGAAAGAAAACGAUAGCAAUAACAUUAAUUCACAAGAAAAAUCAGAAAUGCUUUUGAUAAAUUAAAUAACUGUCUUGAACAUCGAAGAUCUUAUUGCGGGAAUGUAAAAAUGGGAAAAGAAAAUCAUUUAGUAAAUAAAACAGUGAAUAAUGCUUGUUUUAGCCUUGCUACCCUGAAGCUCGUCACACUUUGGUUGUCUUGAUGGUCCAAAUCUUAAGAUGUGGCUCUCUGCUCACAGCCUGUAUGGAAGGGCCUUCCUCCCCCUCCUCCCCGAGAAUAAUACAACAGUCCAUAUCACUGUCCUCUAAAAACAAGUUCUUCAUUGCUGCAAAUGCUUCUUCUUCAUCUGACCCAUAAAUAAUGUCAGCCUAUUGGAAGGUUUGCUCCAGAUGCGGUAUUGGUUGCUCUAGUGGGUAGUAAGGACCGCGCUAUUAUGGAGACCAGUUAUUGAAUUCUUCCCAGGUGUAUUCAUAUCCCAAACCGAAGGUAGUGACAUGUUUCUUGAGUUUUAUGGGUUUAGAGAUUCCUUGGAGGUUCUUGCCGAGCCCUUUGCCAGGUUGGUACCCACUCCAACUCAGUAUAUUCUCGAUUUUGCUAUCCCACCAUUUAUCUUUGUCGAUAGCAUUGACCCGUUCAAUGUGGUGGUAAGUUUCUCCACCCAGCUUCCUUCUUCCCUCAGUCGUCGGAAUGGUCUGGCGACUGUAUAUAGGGUUGCUACCGUCACCGUGAAUGAUCACUUCCUGGUGAUUUCAUUCAAAUUUUACUUCCUGAUGCAGCGUUGAUGCUACGGCCCCAGUAGCAUGAAUCCAUGGCCGUCGCAGCAGCAAGUUGUAAGAUGAUGAUACAUCUAUCACCUGGAAAUUGACCUCGAACUAGGUUGGUCCCAUCUGCAAGUAUAGAAUAAUCACACCAAUGGUGGACGUCUGAGAUCUAUCGAAAGCUUUCACACUGAUUGCUCCAUCCUUUAUCUCAUGCAGCCCUUUACCCAAGAUCUUGAGUGUUACCAGCGGACAAAUGUUAAGAUUGGAACCUCCAUUGAUCAGGAUUUUGGUGAUGAAAUAAUCUUUGCAUUGCACGGUGAUAUGCAGUGUCUUAUUAUGCCCCAGCCCUUCAGAUGGCAGCUCGUCCUCAUGAAAGGUGAUCUUGUGGCUUUACAGAACUUGUCCUACCAUAUUAACCACUUCCCCGCUAGUGAUGUUACUUGGUACGUAUACUUCAUUCAGCACUUUUAACAAAGCAUUCUUAUGUGACUCAGAAUUUUGCAGCAAAGAGAGAAUGGAUAUUUGGGCUGGCGUUUUGUUAACUGGUCGAUGACCGAAUAUUCCUUGGUCUAUAUUUUCCUCCAAAGGUUGUCUGAACCAGUCUUAAUGAGGGGUGGCCGAUUAGAGACCUGCUUGCUUGAUUCAACUAGAUGUUCAGGGGUAUAGACUCUACCAGUUCUCGUCAUACCUUGUGCUGCGACAUCUUCUUCAAUCCUGACCUUACCUUUCCUUCUUGCCGCAGCUGUAUAGUCCCAUGUUACAACAUUUGUGUAGGAUGAUGGCACAGUUGACAUUGCCACUAAGAUCGACGCGGCUAUCCUUACUUUGAGUGGAACAACCUCAAAUGGUGCGGGUGCAUUUGCCGGAGACACAAUUUAACCUCAAUUGGUACCGACGUCUUUGCGGAUGGUGCUGCUUCAAACUCGAGAGGUACAGACAUAUUCACCUCAGCGUCCUCACACAGUUGGAUCUGGACUAUGAUUGGAUUGAGAGUAAUUGUUGGUUUCUUUGGGUUAUCACCUUCUACGAUCAACCCGAUUGACCCCUCGGGAUUCCAGUCAUCUUCUAUUUCAAUCAUGUGGAUGCCUCCACCUUUAUGGUAUGAUAGAGAGUUGUUACGGACAUUUGGAAUGGGUUCUUUUGCCACAAUGAUCUUGUUAUCAAUCAAGGAUUGUAUCUUGUCUUUCAAGGUGUAACAUUCAUCGAUGGCAUGCACUUUCAUGCCGGAGUGGUAUGCACAGGAUUUGUUUGGGUUAACCUACUGAGAAGGAUUCUCAGGAGUUGCAGUAGGGAUGGGGGUAACAUAACCAGGAGAUUUAAGCCUCUCAUACAGCUGGUCGAUGGGUUCAGCGAUGGCUGUAAAUUGUUUUGGAGGUCUACGGUCAAAAUUAGGUUGGGGUCUAGGGAAAUUUUGGCGUGCAGGGGGGGAUUGAUAAUGGGAUGGUUGAGCAUUAUAGGUUUGGUAGACAUGAGUAGGUUAGGAGUAUCUGGGUAAAGUAGGUUGAUAUGUAGGAGGUGGAGAUGACUGAUAGGUUGGUGGAAGAGCUUGGUAUGAAUGUUAUGGUGCUUGGUAAUUUGGGGUUGGCUGGUGUGUGAGUGGAGGUGUUAGGUAAGCUUGGUAUUUGAGGGGAGACUGGGUCCUUUGUGCAACCAUCACGGCCCCUACGUCCCUUUUCUUGGACACACCACCGGACUGUAAAGCCUUGUUUCUAGCUUGCAAGGCCUCAAAAUUUGUAACUAUACCAAUUUUAAUACCUUUUUCAAUUCUUUCACCUAAUUUAAUAACGUCGGAGAACUUGUAGUUCUCAAUCAUCAUCAGCCGUUCAUAGUACUGGGGGUCCUGAGCUCGAACAAAGAACUUGUUCAUUUGCUCCUUUUCUAAGGCAGGUCUAACCUUAGAAACUUCGGACCUCCAGCGAGUGGCAUACUCGCGAAACGUCUCUGUGGGCUUCUUCUUUAAUUUCUGGAUAUAGAACACGUCUGGUGCGUUCUUUGUGUUAAACCUAAAUCGGUCUAUGAAGUCAGAUUCCAUGCCUACUCAGCUUGACCACUUCUUGGGAUCUUGGCUAAUGUACCAAGAUAAUGCAUCUCCUUUCAAACUCCUUAUGAACAGCUUCAUGCGGAUCCUUUCAUCCUUCACUACUCCAACCAACUUGUCGCAAUAUGUCCUCAGAUGGACCCUUAGAUCACCCGUACUAUCAAAUAUUUCGAACUUAGGAGGUUUACACCCCUCAGGCAGUUCGACAUCAGGCUGUAUGCAAAGAUCCUCAUAGUUCAGUCCCUCAAUUCCUUUGCUUCCCUCAAUACCUUGAAUCCGGCUGGUCAAUUUCUUAAGUUUCUCGGUCAAGUUCCUAAUAAGCAGAUCCUUUUCAUCAGACUCAGGUGUGCUUGAGAUAGGUUAGGUAGAGUGUGGCACGGUUUCCACGUAGAUAGGAGUGUUAUGGUUGCCUGGUGUAUGGAUGUGGAAAUGGUCGUUUACAGAGUUCUAAGGUUUUGAGAUGAGUAGUGGAGUGUUGUUUGGAGUAUGGCAGGUGUUAUAUUGGUUGUUUGGUGGAGUAACAUGAUGAUGAGGAGUAGGAUGAUUCUAAUUUUUUUGGGAUAUUUUGAGGAGGUGUAGGGUUUUGAGUGUUGGGGAAGUUGAUAUCUGGGGUGCUGAGGGAAAAUGGCAGGCUUUCCAAAUUUCGAACUUGGUCGAGCUCUUCCUAGAAUUUCAACAGUUUCUGUUCAAGUUGUGAUACAUUCUCGUUAGGAACCCGAAUACCCUGGCCAUCAGUGGCCUCUACCCGUUCAGUCGUGUUCUCCUUCCUGAUGUUGUUCAAAUCUUCAAUCUUUCCUUUGUUCUUGCUUUUAACAGGAAUAAGAGGAGGAGUGGGUGGAGGGCCCCUGGAUCUUGUGAAAUAAGAUGAUGAUGCCAGAGUGCACGAAGUAACCUUUAGAGAGGGGGAUAAUAAAACAAAACUAAAAACAAAAGGUAAUCAAUUCAGUGAGGAUUAUGAAAAGGUAUUGCAAUAUUUAAAACACAUAGUGCGGGAAUGUAAAGCGGGUCCUAACUUGGGAACCUCUUUGUGCCCGAUGUAGGCCUAGCGAUAAAUUGAUUUGGAGAACGUAAAAUGCUAAAUGCCUCAUUUUAUGGAUAAAAAUAGACAAAUCCGAAAACGACAUUAAAUAGGAAAGAAAUAAAAAUCACUAAUGGCCAUUGGCCUUAUUACAUUCAUAAAGAGAAAAAGCAAAUUCCUAUCUAUUUGGUCCCAGAAGGACCUUCCCCAGAUUUGGCAUCCUUGGCUUCAUCGAACAGCUUCCCCAAUUCGUGAAGUCCCAGCAACAGGUAUGCUCUGGCCAGAUGUCCGCCUUCAAUCCCUUCAGCUUUUUGAUAGUCUUCAACCUUUUGCGAAAUUUCCCUUCUAGUUCUGCUAUGCCUAGCUCCAAGUAUCCUAGCCUUUUGUUGGCAUUGAUAGCCAUGUCUUUCCAUUCCUUAAUCAGCUUCUAGUUGGACUCUUGUAUCUCGCGGUGUUCGCUCUUGCAUUCAUGGAUCUUUUUGCGCAGCUGGUUGUACUUGACCUAUACCUCGGCCUUUUAUCUUUAAUUAUGUGACCUCGAACGAACCCUGGCUGGCCCAGACCAUCCCAAUUAUCUUCCAACUAACCCGGAUAGAAAGGAGUACAACCGACAUGAUAUCUGUGGCUCGAUGGUGUCUUUCCCCAUUACAAUCUUGUAGUGCUACAUGUGUUGAGCUUGGCACUUGUAGGGACUAUCAUCAUUUUGGAAGUUAGCUCAGAAAUCGCUCAUCUUGUCGACCCUAGGUAUGACUUGCUUUCUACCUACUUGCCUCACAACUCGAAAAGAGACGUAAGGGUAUGUUCCUCUUAGACCAAUCAGUAUCAGGAAAGGUGCAUCUUUGGAUCGGGCGAUGAACUCCUCUAUCGGAAACCACUCAAACAUCCAUUGAACCUAUGUUUCAGUCAGAUUAUCAAAUAGCUCAACCCAUCCUUUGGCAUUCUCAGGCUGAACGAACAUGUCAGGGAUAUAAUUCAUUCACUUUAGAUGGUGGAAAGCAAUGUGAUCAUCCCAGACCCUUCGCUGAAUUUCUUGCCGGUAUUCGCCCUUUUGGUGAUGUUCCAUGAACCAAAACUGAAGUAAUAUAUUGCAGUCUUCGAAGUGUCUCGCUCCUCGUUGACACUACUCUAAGGCUCGGUAUAUGUCUGUGAUGAUCAUGGGUACAAUUCUGAAUGUCUACCCAUCAAUCCCCUUCAUUAGGGUCUUGGUCACCAUAGCCAGUCUAGUAUGGAUUCUCCCUUUCUUCAUUGGAAACACGAUCAGACCCAGGAAGCAAAAGAUGAAGACGAAUACCCUACGAUGGAUAUGUCCCAAGGACGUGAUGGCAAACUCGUCAUGGUAGGUAUGGUAUGAUUUUCUGUGACUGUACCUUUCAUACAGGUAGUCAAAAGGGAUUUAUGAUUCCUUCAGGCAUACCAAUUCUGCAUUCUUCUUUAAACCCAUCAUUUUAAGGAAACCUUUGCAUGUGCAGUUCUCAGGAAUUAGCAAACCCGGAGUUUCCCACACUAGACCGACCAGUUCUCCUAUCUCCUCUAGCAAAGGUGUCAUUUCGAUGUCCCCAAAGCGGAACACGGCCCUUUCACAAUCCCAAAAUAACGUAGUUGCUUCUAUGAUCAUAUUGUUAGGAUGGAUCUCCAAGAGGGAUGGUAGAUUGCCCAGAUAUUUUUUGACGAGGGUUUUGUCACUAGAAUGUAAAUCUUCCCACCAACUUAGCAGUCCUGGGUGGAUAUUGGUGACUAUGCCGAAUCUAGGGACUUCGUGCCUCAUAUUUCUGCAAAACAAACAAGGUUAGGCCCUUACCCUCACCAAACUCGACUAUUUAACAUCAAUAAUUAGUAUGAAGCAUUUAGUUCUCCAAAUAAAUGCACUGAACGUGAUGAUGUUCGUUUGGAUUUAGGGAAACCCAGUGGACUUUUAGACAAGGCUAUCUUAAAGAAUCAUUAACAUAACUGACCCGACUAAGUUUGACCAUGAUGCAUGCAUAAUUUAAAUAGAGUAAGGUUUCUAUGUGGUUUUAGAUUGGUACCCUUGAGCGGAAAACUCAAGAGGGAAGACACAGAACUGUCGACUAGUUUUACCGCAAAUAAGCCUUUCCGAAUUUAGGGGUAAUGAUAUAGGAAGUGAGCAACCACUCAUCAAGCGUUGCUAUAGUAUUUGUUUGACAUGAGUGGAGUAUGAUGUUGAGCAUGAUUAUGCAAUAAUUAAAAGCAUGUUGACAUGUAUUUGCACGUUAAGAAAGCGAUAAAUACAGCAAUUUUAUAAUUUAAAGCAGUUAUAAAGGAAGAAAACAAGAAAGAUAUGUCAUUUUUGCUUUUGAAGAAGAAAUUAAUUGCUUAAAGAAAUUAAACAAGUAAUUGCACAUAGGGAGGGGUACAAAUUCACAAAAACAAUAUGAAAUGGUAAAAGCCUAAAUAUGCCCAGCAGAGUCGUCAUGCUGUCGCGCCCCCUUGUUCCUUCGCGGAAUCGGGUUUAUGAUAUUUUGGUAUGGGACAACUCACUCCUUUUGGGAAAUGGAGUUUGUAGUUUGAAGAGUCACCACCUAACAAUUUUAAGGUGCGUUAGGGCACCUAUAGGGUUUAUUUAUAACUACGUUUGUUAACCAGAAAUAGGGUAAGGGCUUGAAAUUAUCCUAAAGGGAAGGAGUUAGGCACCCCUCAGGAUCACUAGUGUCGUUCCCAGCCAGAUAAUAUUUUGUGAAUUUUUACAAGUAGCAAACAAAACAAGUAUGACUUAAAUAGUAGGGGAUUUAAGUUUAAAAAUACAAGUGUUUGAAAAGGACAAUUAAUAAAAGAAAAGCAAGAUUUUGAAAAAUAAUUACAAUCUAAGCAUGCUUAUGAAUGUAAAGAGGGGUGUCCUAGGUUUGUUUAUAAUAUGGAUUACAUCAAUGCAAUACCCGGUAUGACACUCCUCAAAGAGGGGCUAUACAUGGUAUUAAUGUACCGGUCAUCAUAUCCAUAUCUACCCUUUCCUACCCCGUGAAGAUAACUAAAGCGAGGGUUGGUCUCAACCCCUAUUGCAUGCUAUUACCCAUCCCUUCCUAUUAGUCCCGGAGGAAUUUAGGACUCCUAUCCUACAAAAGGAGGUUCUGGCAGACCCUCAAGUUUAAAGGCAAAAACACUAAGGCGGCAUAUAAUUAACAAGUAGGACUUCAAUUAAAGGGAGCAUGGAAUACAAACAAAAGGCUCAAAUAUAUCUCGACAUAUAGUGCACAUGAACAACAUGACUCAUACAAAGAUAAGGUCUGAAUUAAGAAUUCUAAAGUAUGGUAUCUAAGUGAUAAUAGCAUAACCAGAUUUAUUGCAUGACUCAGAAAAGAAGUCCGAAUCAGGUUUGCCUACUGAUUUUAAUAGGUUGAUAGUUAAACAAAGGCAGUUCUGGUUUUAUUUAAGCUAUUACAUAAGUCUUGCCUAGCAGUUAUUUCGAGUUAUUAAAAUAGUUUGGAGAUUGUUUUUACCUAAAACAUGUUGUUCUAAUUGAUACGAAUGCAGAGAUUGUUAUCAAUUUUAUUCAGAAAAAAACAUUAAAAUGUGAAAUUAUUACUUUAUUACCUUUUUAUGAAUAAGUAACUAACUAGGUGUUUUAAACAAAAUGCAAAUAGGAUCCUAGAACAUGAUAUCUAAUAUGCACAUGCAAAUGGCAGGAUUAUCAAAAAUAGAAUCCCUAAGGCAUGAUUUCUAAAUGCGCACAAGAGUUGCAGAAUUAUUGAGAUAGGACUUCUGAAAGUACAAGAGUAACAACUUUUAUGCCAAUGUUGUUAUUGUCCUAGGAGCAGAAUUUCUAAGUGAUAGACAUAAAACAUGGCUUAGUGAUGGAUGAGAUGCAGAAGCAAGAAACAUGAGACCUAAGAGCAUGAUUGCUAAUGCAUGUAUGAGUCUUAAGCAUGGUUUCUAUUGCACAAUUAGGAAUAUAACCCUAAUAACAUGUUGUCUACCCUUAACAACUAUAGCAUGCAUAUUUACCCUAUCCCUUUUCACUAGCCACCCAAAUACUUGUUUACAAAUGGUUAUUACAGACCAGCAUUGAAAUGAAUUACAUAAGUAAAAAUGAAAAAAAAUAAGAAUUUACACUAUAGGAAGCCUGAUUAAGACUUCCUCCCUAAGUUUUGUAAUAAACCACUUCAAGUGCCAAUAUUGUUCCAUAACCUUUCUCAUAUCUGGGUAUGUCAGAGUUCUCUAAGGACCUCAAGGGGUCCCGGGCAGUGCUCACACCCAGAUUGCAUAACCAAUACAGAGUAAAUGCAAUGUGAAAAGGCCAACUUUUAUGUGUCCAAGUUCAGAGGGAGCUCAAGGGUCCCAAGGCAAGGCUCACAUAAAAGGGGCAGAACCUAGUGGUCUAAGAGUAUAUGUGAGAGUGCUUGACAUAGAUUUAAAAGAGUUGAGUUGGAAAACAAUUUUGAAACAGCAUGUUUGAAAUAAGUUUGCAAGAUAACAGAAGAGUUGCUUAGGGAAAACAGUUUGGAAAGGAGGAGAGAAUAGGAGCAACAACAACUUGGAACAAGCCAACACACACAGGACAAGUUCAAAGAAUAAGAACAUUUAUAAGCAGGGGAGUAAGGGGUUGGGGACACAGAGAGCCCAAAUCAGAAACACAUAAACAUGGAUGAGAAGAGAAGCAUAUUGACCAGCAAUCACAAAGAACAAGUAGGGAGUGAUUGACCUUUAGAACACAAACUACUUCAAAGUGUUAACAAGGGAAUCAUGCUUGAAAUUAGAAUAGUAAUAAGACAAAGGGACAGGGUCUAAGAGUAAUCAUGCAGGGUUCUAUUACACACAAUUAGUCAUGAGUUAGUGUUAGUCAAGUGCAUUAGGAGACAUACUAGUUGAGGGACAUAAACUGGAACUCAAGUAGACAUGCUGAUUACAUUUGAACAAGAGAGGGCAAAACUUAAGCAUGCUGAAUAAAGCAGUAAACCAGACAGACAAUCAAACAUAUAAGUUAUUGAGUUAGUGCAGAAAAAGACAGGGAUUGACAAACAAUGGAGGACAUAGGGUUAAGUUUCAGAAUUUAACUAGUGACAUACCAGUUAAGGAAGCAAAGUGCAGAAAGGUAAAGCAAGUAGAGUUCCACAGUCUAGCCUUGGCUUUCAGCCGGCUAGACAAGCAGUGGCACAAGUAGUAGAGAAAGAAGAGAGAGUUUGAGUGUGUGUGGGUGUGUUCUAAACUGUGUUCGUGUGUUGAGAGGUAAAACAAGAGUGUAUAUAUGGAACUUUAGGAGUAGAACUAAUAAGGUAAAGAGAAUGAGAGUUCAAUCAAUUAAGGAUCAAUCAACCAAUCACAGAAUCAAAUUAUAUAGAGAAGUCCAGGAAAAAACCCCCUUUAAUUGGGGAACAGUUAAUUAAUAGUCAUAACAGGGUUCAAUUAAGGUAAUAAAUCAAAACCAUACCAUAUAGCGAGUUAGUAAAUCCCCAAACUACUGAUAACUAAUUAAAGCAAGUAUAACCAAUCAAGGUCACAAAUAAAGAAACAAGUAAAAUCCCAGCACACACUGAUUUUAAUGGGAUAGUCAUUCGAAUCAGUAAAAAAAUCUUAGAAUACUGAUUUUUAACAAGAAAGAUUGCUCAAAACCCUAAUAGAAAAUAAUCAUGCAAGGAUCCCGAAGAAUACUGAUUUUUAACAUGGAAAAUUGCUCAAACCCCAAAUAGAAUCAGUUGAUACAUUGGGUUGACAGAAAAAAUAAACAAAUAACGGAGAACAGGUGAAAGAAAAUUAGUGCAAUAGACAGAAACAUCCAGAAUUCAUGCAUAUAUGAGAGAAUCAUUCAAUAUAGUGAAGAAUACUUAGUUUAAACACCGAAAGUUAGAAAAUUUUUUGAGGAAAAUCUGAAAUGAACCCUUAUUUCAAAAAGAGUAAACAAAGUCGAAACAAUUAAUCAAACCAAGAGAUUUUAAAAGGAAAACACCUAAUGAUACUCGAAUAACUACAAAUCGAUAAAGAUCUGAGAAGAUUCGAACAAUAGUGAAACUAGGGUUUUCAGAAAAUAGUAGAGAUGAAGAAACAAUCGGUUAAAAUCUCAUGGAUAUACCUAGAUCUAAGACAGGUCUAAAGAAAAGUGGAAAAUCUCAAGAGUUAGGGUUUCAGAGAACCCAAAGAAGAUGAGAGAACCUUAGAACAUUACCGGUUUUAGCCAGAAAAGUCAUGGAUCUGACUUGAACAGACAUGGAUGGCCAGAAAAUGGCAUGAAAGACCAUAGAGAGGCUCUUGGAGGGUUUUGAACAAGAUGUAGACUAGAUCUCUUCGAUAUCCCUCCAUGAAAUCACAAAAACAAGAAACCAGGUUAUAUAAGAGACAAGUAUAUGUCUCGAACAACCAUGGGAAUCCAUGGAUCGAGUGAGGAUCGAAGGGAUUAAGGUUAAUUUUGGGUGGCGGCGGCUAGGGUUAGGACUAGGACUCAGAGAGACAGAGAGGAUUUGGGGAUUCUAGGGUGGCUUUUUUGGUAAGAAUGAAUUAUAUUAGGGGGUCGUUCAGGUUAAAAAUGGUAAGAAAUAACGUGGACCGUUGAUCUGGGAGAUCAACGGUCGAGAUUAGAAAUGGUAAGUGGGGUUCUGGGUUUAGGUAUGGAUUAAAAGGGUUUGGGUUGGGUUUUAAUUGUAAAAUUGGGUUGGGGAUUGGGGUUUUAUUUGGGCUACAAUUGAAAGCCAAUCUGGCUAUAUAUUAAAUAGCCAUUUUUUCUCUAUUUGAUUUAUAAAAAAUAGUAAAUAGUUUCUGAAAAAUAAUUUAAAGUGCUAAAAUGAUUUAUAAUUCACAAUUAACAAUUUAAAAUACAGGAUCCACUUUUAUGCAUAUAAAAUAUAAUUAAAUCUUAUAAGGGCUAAUAUUGCAAUUAUGUGCAAUUUAGCUUUAAAAAUACUAAAUGUAAUUGUAAAAAUAUAUAAAAAUUAACUUAGCCAUAUUUUGGUAUAAAUAUAGAAAUACAAUAGAUGACUUAUCAAAAUAAUAAUUUUGGAAAUAAUUAUUGGGGAUGUUAUGGAUAAAAAGGGAUAAAAUAAAUCUAUUUAAACCUUUAAAAUUAUGGAAAAUAUAAUAAAACCCUUGGACAUGCUUAUAUAUGCAUAUAUAUGCUAUUUUGAAGGUAUUUUGCAUAUUGAAAAUAUAUAGGAAAAAAUUGGGUAUCAACAGUUGAUAUGUAGCAACAAUAUUUUUUUAACCAAAAGGCAUUACCUUGUAGCAGUAUAUAUAAGUUUUUCAUCCUUGGGUACCAUGCAAAUUUGAUUAUAUCUAGAUGAACCGUAUAUGAAAGACAUCGCCUCAUAUCUAUUCAUGGCAUCAAUCAUGAGCUCCAGGAUGGGAAGAAGAAAUUCAUCCUUAGGACAAGCGUUAUUUAUGUCCUUAAAGUCAAAACAAACUCGAAUUUGACCAUUCUUCUUUCUUACGAGGAAGAUGCUUGAAAUCCAUGUAGGAUAUUUAACUUCACAUACAAAAUCACACUCAAUAAGUUUGUUAACUUCGAUUUCAAUCAAGGGAACCAGUUUAGGCCUAAAGCGACGUUGUGCUUGCUUCACGAAAUGAACACCUCGUUUGAUAGAAAAAUGAUGAACAACUACCUCGGGGUCUAAACCUGGCAUCUCUUUGUAACUCCAAGAAAAUACGUCUUUGAAUUCCUUAAGUAGAACAAUAUAUUUGCUUUCUUAAUUAUCAGUUAGAGAGGCACUUCCAUAUGUAGGCACUGGAUCUUCAACAUCUCUGAGAUUGACUUUUUUUAAUGUAUCAACAGUUGUCUUUACCCCUUCUUCAAGAUCAGGUGGUGCAUCUUUAGCGUCUUCAUCCUCUUGAGGAUCACCAUCAUUGAAAGAUAUGUGAUGGCAUAAAUGAAUAUCAAGCCACGUUUCCUCGACUUUCUCCCGAGAUGAAAGAUUUUGUUCAUCAUGAAUUGUGAUAUCAUAUGAUGACCCCACACUCUCUUCAUCCUCCUCACAUUAUUUAGUAUGGACUAUAGUAUGAGCCUUUGCUUUGAGAACCUUUCCACAUGAAACUACAAGUUUUGUCUCUAGCCUCAUUCUAGAAGGAACUAGACUUGGGAAAUUUGUGGUCAAAAUCUCCCUUUUAGCGAAGACAGGUGCUUGGAUCCUUUCUAUUUCUUCCAUGGCGCUUGUGUUCCUUCUUCAAUGGUCCUAACCUAUCAAACACCGAGGUACAUGGUUUUGUAUGUCGAUCAAACGUGAAGGCUUCUCAUUAAGUGGUGUAGUCACUUCUUUAGGCAUAAUGUAGUUACAACUUAGAGACAUAGAUGCCCCGAUCACGAGGUGUGAAAGGUUGAACAUGGAGGGCUUGAGGUAUGGCAGGGGUAGGCCAAAAAAAUAUUGGGGAGAGGUGGUUAGGUAGGACAUGUCGGUGCUUCACCUAACCGAGGACAUGACUAGUGAUAGUAAAGUGUGGAGGCCGAGGAUUAAGUUGGUGGGUUGAUAGGUAGUUGUGACUUUCUCCUAGGUUUACCAGUAGUACUAGUAGUAUUCUUGUUGUUGGUUGAAAGAUACUUUCUUUAGUUUGUUAGUGUAUCUGGUACUUAGCUACCACAUCCAUUAUUUUUUUUGAAAACUGCUACAGGAAUAUGUUGCUCCCUGAUUGUUACUAUUUGAUGCUACUUUUUCUCCCCUUUUUCCUUAUUGUCUUUUGUCUCCCUCUUCUUUCUUUAUUUCUUCCCCCUCUUUCUUCUUUUUCUUCCCUUUUCUUCCUUGCCAUCUUUUCUUGAGUCGGGGGUCUAUCGAAAAUAGCAUCUCUACCUCUCCAGGUAGGGGUAAGGUCUGCGUACACACUACCAUCUCCAGACCUCACCUGUGGGACUAUACUAGAUUUGUUGUUGUUGUUGUUGUAGUUACAACUUGUCCUUUUUAUGGAGAUACGGAUUGGCGGGGGUUGUUUGUAACCCAAACUUUCACAUGAUUGCUUCAAGGGGUACCCUAUGAUGAUCAUCUUUUGAGUAGGGUUUGAAGCUUUAGGUGGGAGCUUUCCCAACUUGGAUGGUUCAUUGGAAUCAUAUUCAGCUUUUGCUAACAACUUGUAGGCAUUUGGGUCAAAGCCCUCAUCUGUGCACUUUGCAGGAAGUGCUAGAUUUAGAAGUGAAUUGUGGUUUGAUGAUUUGACAAACCCUUUAAGCAACUUUGUAUAUGAUUUAAUUACAUCAAUUCGCUUGAUAUGAAGGGUCAAGUCUCCUAUAACAUUACUUUGUAGUUCAGAAGAUGGAUUUUCAACCAUCCUUGCCUUUUGACAGAGUGAAGAAUAGGAGUCACUUUCUUACUUGAAGAUGCCUCAUUUAUCUUGCUCCUAUCAUAGAGCACUUGAUCUUUUCAACCAUCAUAUUUUCCUUACUAGUUGUGACAUCAACCUUCUUUGCAACACUUUUGGUCAACAUCACAUCAUCAUGCUUAACCUCCUUUGAGACAUAAUUCUUUAAGUAAAAUUUUACAUCGACAAACUGUGAUUCUGCCUUGGUAAAUGGCUUAUCAUCAGCAAUUGUUUUCUUUUCCACUCCAUCUUUAAAGUACUUCAAACAUUGAUGGUAAGUGGAUGAAACCACUUUGUUCUCGUAUAUCCAUGGCCUUCCUAACAAUAUAUUAUAAGAGGUCGUUGCAUCAAUCACAUGCAUCCAUGCACUCGAACAUAUAUCUCACAUAUUUAUUUCCAAUUUGAUAGCCUUUAUAGCUCUUUGCCCCCCUUGAUUGAACCAUUGAAUCAUCAAAUGACUUUCACAUAGUUCAUCCAUCAGUAUACCGAGCUCUUUGACCAUACGAAUUGGGAGAAUAUUGAUGCAUGAUCCAUCAUCAAUCAAAAUUCUACUUAUUCUCUGCUCAAGCCCAAAUCUAACCAUAAACAGGGGAUGAUUAUAGUGUGUUUCACCAAGCAAAAUAUCAUCAUUAGUAAAUGUGAUUUUUGCAUCACUAGUGUCUAUUUCUUCAGAGAUAUGCUCAAUGAGUUUCUCAAACAAGGGAGGUGGUAGAAAUGAUGGAUCUUCCUUCUUUAUCUCUUCUUCAUCUAACUUGCAACGUGAGGCCUUUAUAUCUUCACAGGAAGUUUGCGUGCGUAACCAACUUGGUAGAAAUUCAUCCAAUGUCACUGGACGACGUAGCCUUUGAUACUGAUUCUCCUCCAUUUUUUUCUUCCAAUUCUUAUUUAUCAUUUUCUUCUUAAUUGUUUUCACCAUUUUCCACUAGUCAGUUGCUUAUUUGACUCUCUUUGUGAAUUUGACUUGUAGCGUCUUCGCCGAGUCACAAGAAUGCAACCUUCAUCAUCAAAUGAUUCACUUUUUUCUUGAGAUUUUUGCUCCAGUAUUACUUCAUGCACUAUANNNNNNNNNNNNNNNNNNNNNNNNNNNNNNNNNNNNNNNNNNNNNNNNNNNNNNNNNNNNNNNNNNNNNNNNNNNNNNNNNNNNNNNNNNNNNNNNNNNNNNNNNNNNNNNNNNNNNNNNNNNNNNNNNNNNNNNNNNNNNNNNNNNNNNNNNNNNNNNNNNNNNNNNNNNNNNNNNNNNNNNNNNNNNNNNNNNNNNNNNNNNNNNNNNNNNNNNNNNNNNNNNNNNNNNNNNNNNNNNNNNNNNNNNNNNNNNNNNNNNNNNNNNNNNNNNNNNACACCUCAUUUACUUCGACAAAAUUACAAAGAACAAUGGGAUCAAGUGAACCAAAAAUGACAGAGACUUGAUUCGAACUUUCCUUCUCAUCCUCAAGAAAGAUUUUUCCUUCAGUGACGAAGUCCAUGACUUUAUCCUUGAAGAUAAAUCACUUUUCAAUAGGCUGGCCAAUCAACCGAUGGUACAUACAAUAAUUUGGAUCUUUAGUCCUUCCGUCUUCAUCUGGCCACUUUAUUUAAGGUAUCUCAAUGAGUUUCAACUCAAGGAGUUCUUCAAAAAUUGCUGGAAUAUCAGAAUCCAAGAAUGGAUAUUCUUUCACUUGCAUUUCCUUUAAAGUUAACUUUUGGCCAGCUUUAUCUUGUAAAGACAUUGUAUUCACCCUUUUCUUCUUACUCACUUUUGUAGUGACCUUUAAUGAUGAGCCAUUAACAUUCAUUGAUUCCUUGCUCUCAGACUUUGGCAUAAACUUGCCUCAUUUCUUUAUUUCUUGUUUAUCCUUCCCUUUGCGAGGUUCAUAAACAGGUGGUCCUUGAUUUACACUUGAAGACAUGCUUAAUUCCAUAUCAUGAGAACAUGUAGCAAAUUCUUCAAAAUACUUAGUCUUGAUACCUUAUAAGAUGUAGUGAAGUCCCUAAUGCAUUCCUAGGAUACACAUUUCAAUUCCAGAAGCUUCACUAAGUCCAUAUUUGCAGUUGAGGCUUGCAUUCCUCCAUCGAUUGAUGAAAUCAACAACCGGUUCACUGUUCCAUUGGCGCAUAUUUGGGAGUUCAACCAUACUUACCAUGCACCUUGUGCUAUAGAAGCGAUUGAGAAAUUCAUGUUCAAGUUGCUCCUAGCUAUUGAUGAAACUAGCCUCGUGAUCAAUGUACCAAUCAAUAGCAUUUCCUUUUAAGGAACAGACAAACUUCUUGAAGAGAUAAACUCCAUAGGUUCCAUCAUUAUUACAAUUUCGACGAAGUGUGCAAUGUGUUGCUUUGGUUUUCUUUUACCAUCAAAUUUUUGAAAUUUUGGGGGAUGACAACCUGCAGGCAUCUUCAAACUAUCAAUUCUCGCAGUGUAUGCCUUUGCAUAUGAGAGAGAAGACUUGGCAACAACAUCAUACUUAUAUUUGAUGGUUCCCAUGAUGAAGUCUUUCAAUUGGUUAAUGGGAAUAACCCUGUCACAUGAAAUAUGAAGUUCUUUAGGAGUCGUUGUUUGCCUUGCAGAUGAGUCUCCUUUAUCUUGCAUCAUACGGAGCUUUCCAGGUGCAUGGCUUGAAUCUCCCUCCAUCAUACUUUUAACUCUAUUUGUCAGCUUGACAAUUUGAUUAUCUUGAUCUUGCAUAUGCUUUGUUAACCCCUCAAUUUCCUUUGUUAAAUUUGUGAGUUGUUCUUCAACAAUCGAAGUGUUAGUCUGUAACGACCCAAAUCUCAACAUGUCGUGAUGGCGCCUAUCACAAUACUAGGCAAGUCGAUGAUUACAAAAUAACUAUGCAUUUUAAUUUAAAAGCAUGAUAUAUUGAGUUUAACCGUAAAAAAGAAAUCUCAUAAAAUAACCGAAUGGAAUAACUACAACCCAAAUAAAAAAUCCCCAAAAAUCCAGGUGUCACCAAGUACAUUAGUUGCUAUAUGAAAACACACUCAAAAACUUCUAAUGCAACUGUCUAGAAAUAUAGAAAAAUGUAAAUAAACUGAAAAGAAGGAGAGUCGAGGUCUACGAAUGCCAAAGCAGCUACCCCAAAAGUCUCCAAGCAGGUAAUGCUCCAAGUCUAGCAACCACAGGGUCCAGAUGUACCUGGAUCUACACACUAAGUACUGAGUGUAGUAUGAGUACAAUCGAUCCAAUAUGCUCAAUAAGUAAUAGGACUAACCUUGGGCUGAAAGUAGUGACGAGCUCAAAAGGUACCGUCAAAAUCUGGAUAAUAACAAUACAAGUAUAAUAGGGAAAUGAUAGUAUUACUCAAAGAAAUCUCAUAAUUUGUAUACACAAUACAAAAAUGUGGAUAUGCUUUCAAAUUCAACAAUUAAGCUCAAUACCUAUAAAAUAUGCCAAGUAUAGCUAGCAUGAGGAAUGUUAUAUCUCUAUGUCUACCUAAACAAAUAUGCAUGCUAGAUGCAAUGCAUCACAAUGAUACUCUCAUGUACUCACGCUCUCAGAGUACCGAAUCUGAUUGUGCCAACUCUUACUCAUAACACUCAAUCACUCAGCACUGUACAAUACAUGCACUCACUGCAGGUAUGUCAUACUACGGAGGGGCGGAUCUUGCCCAAGUGCUAAUAAAACCUGUUAUGGCAUGCAACCCGAUCCCAUUAUGAAUCAAUAAUAUCUACUGCGACGUGCAGCCCGAUUCCAUCAUGAAUCAAUAAAAACCUCCUAAGGUGCACAUCCAGAUCCCAUCAAUAUUACUCAAAAUCCGGCCCUCAAGCCCCAACUCAGUCAUCAACCUCUCCAGUCUCUCAGGCUCACAAUCUCAUGCCAAUCAGCCCAAACAAUGAUAUCAUGAUGUAACAAUAAAUGACAACAGAGACUGAGAUAUGAUAUGAAAAUGAUAAAUGUGACUGAGUAUACAUUGCAUUUUCACCAAAUAAUCAACAGCAUAAAUGACCUCAGUUGGUCCCAACUAAAUAAGCACAUAGCCUAAAAAUGAUUUCUACAUAGAUUGCAGCUCGUUUACUCUAACACGUAGGGAUUGCAUGAACAAUAAUAAGGUUUGACAACUACAUGGUACCACGGGAACAACCGGGUCACAAUUACCAUGGUGCACACCCACACGCCCAUCACCUAGUAUGCGUGUCACAUCAAUACCAAUCACAUACCAUGUAUUUAAGGGAUUUAUACCAUCAUAAUCAAGUUUAGAAGUGUUACACACCUCAAACCACGCAAAUCCCUACUCCAACAAAGCCCUUGCCUCCCGAAUCAGCCUCUGAAUAACUCGAAUCUAGCCACUAACAACUUAAUACAAUCAAUACAAACUAUGGGAAUUAAUUCCAUACGAUAAAGCUAAGUUCUUUAACCAAAGUCAAAAAGUCAACCCAAAAGUUAACCCCAAGCCCAUACCUCGGAACCCAACAAAAUUUACAAAAUUCGAACAUGCAUUAAAUAACGAGUCCAACCAUACCAAAAUCAACAAAUUCUGACCUCAAAAUCGUCACUCAAAUCCCCAAAUCUUACUCUCUAAUCCCUAGUCCAAAAUCCUCCAAAUUCAACCUUAAAAACACAUAAUGUAAGUGUAGAAAUCAAUGGUAUUUAAUAUUAAUAAAUAAAAAUGAUCAAAAGUUUCCUACCUCUUGAAAUCUAGUGAAACCCCUCUUAAAAAUUACCACUAAGCAAAGUUGAAAAGUCCAAAAAAGAGAGAAUCCUCAAAACCUCAAUUUUUAUAUAUUCUACCAGUGGUUUCGCUUCUGCGAUACUGCUUAUGCGGUUAAAAGUCCGCACCUUCGGAAAAGUACUAGACCCCCGAACUGCCGCUCCUGCGACCAAAAGCUGGCACCUGCGAAAUCGUGCCUACGACACCGCAUCUGCUUCUGCCUGCCCAGAUUAAUAUCCCAAAUUUUGCACCUGCAACAUCCUUAUCGCAGAAGCACCUUCACUUCUGCAGAAAUACACCCGCUUCUACGAGCCUCCCUUACCUUCACUCCAGUCCGCUUCUCCGACCAAAGCGUCGUAUUUGCGACCUUGCAGGUGCAGAACCUUCCUCGCACCUGCGUUCCUAGGAUUCCUCCCCAAAUGUUGCAUAUGCGCCUUCGUGUCUGAUUUUGUGGCUCAGCACCUGCGACUAAAAUCUCGCAGGUGCGAUUACACUAGAACAACCGCCUAUAGAAAUUUCAGAAGUCCAACUUUUUAUCUGAUUUCAAUCUGAAUCACUCCUGAGGCCUCGGGACCCCAUCCAAACAUAUCAAACCAUCCUAAAACAUCAUACAAACUUAGUCGAGGCCUCAAAUCACAUGAUAUAACAUCAAAAAUGCAAAUCGCACCCCAAUUCAAGCCUAUUGAAAUUAAUGGAUUUCCAACUUUUACAAUCGAUGUCGAAACCUAUCAAACCAACUCAGAUUGACCUUAAAUUUUGCACAUAAGUUGUAAAUGAAAUAAUCGACCUAUUUCAACUUUCGAGACCAAAAUCCGAGCUCGAUAAUGAUAAAGUCAACUCUCGAUCAAAACUCUCAAUUCUCUAAACUUCAACUUUUUUCAACUUUCGCCAAUUCAAGCCAAAAUCAUCUACGAACCUCCAAAUCAAUAUUUAGACACACUCCUAAGUCCAAAAUUACCAUACUGAGCUAACAAAACAAUUAAAACUCCAUUCUGGGGUUAUUUACACAUAUGUUAAAAUCCUACCAACUCUUUCAACUUAAGCUUCCAACAUUGAAACUAAGUGUCCUAAUCCAUUCCAAAACAUCCCUUCAACCAAACCAACCAACCCCGGCAAGUCACAAAACAACAAAUGAACAUAGAAUAAGCAAUAAAUGGGGGAACUAGGCUAUAAUACUCUAAACAACCUGCCAGGUCAUUACAUUCUCCCCCCCCCCCUUUAAAUAAACGUUCGUCCUCUAACGGAUCUAGAAUCAUACCUGGGAUCUCAAAUAGGUGUGGAUAUCUGCUUUGUAUCUACCUCUCGAUCUUCCAAGUAGCCUCCUUGACUGGAUGACUUCUCCAUUAUAUUUUCACUGAAGCUAUAUUCUUUGAUCUCAACUUUCAAACCUACUGAUCAAAAAUGGCCACCAACUCCACAUCAUAAGUCAAAUCCCCAUCUAACUGAACCGUGCUGAAGUUUAAAACACGAGAUAGAUCACUGAAACACUUCCGAAGCAUGGAAACAUGAAACACUAGAUGAACACUCGAUAGACUAUGUGGCAAUGCAAGCUUGUAAGCCACCUCUCCAAUCCUCUCAAGCACCUCAAAAAGGCCAAUAUAGCGAGCUCUCAACUUGACCUUCUUUCCGAUCCUCAUAACACCCUUUAUGGUCAAAACUCAUAGUAAUACCUUCUCCCACACCACGUAGGCAAUAUCACGAACCUUCCGAUCAGCAUAACUCUUUUGUCUAGACUACAUCGUGCGAAGUCGAUCCUGAAUCAACUUAACCUUUUCCAAAGCAUCCUAAACCAAGUCAGUACCUAAUUGCCUAGCCUCACCUAGCUCAAACCAACCAACUAGAGACCGACACCGCCUCCCAUACAAGGCCUCAUACAGAACCAUCUAAAUACUCGAGUGGUAGCUGUUGUUGUAGGUAAACUAUAUAAGAGGUAGAAGCUAGUCCCAAGAACCCCGAAAUCCAUGACACAAGCACGUAGCAUAUCCUCUAAUAUCUGAAUGGUGCGCUCAGAUUAUUUGUCCAUUUGAGGGUGGAAUGUUGUAUUCAACUCAACCCAUGUACCUAAGUCGAUGCACUGCUCUCCAAACUUCGAUGUGAAAUGUGUGCCCCGAUCUAAAAUAAUAGACACUAUCACACCGUGAAGGUGAACAAUCUCACGGAUGUAUAUCUAUGCCAACCGCUUCGAAGAAUAGGUUAGUCCCAACUAGAAUGAAAUGUGUGAACUUAGUCAAUUGGUCCACAAUCACCAAAACAGCAUCAAAUUUCUUCAAAGUCCGUGGAAGCCCAACUACGAAGUCCAUAGUAUACAUGCCCAUUUCCUCUUAGGAAUCUCAAGCCUCUGAAGCAAACUGCCUAACCUCUGAUGCUCGUACUUCACCUGCGGAUAAUUCUAGCAUUGAGCUACAAACUCCACUAUAUCUUUCUUCAUUCUCCUCCACCAAUAGUGCUGCAUCAAGUUUUGAUACAUCUUUGCGGCACCCAGAUGAAUGAAAUACCACAAACUGUGGGCCUCCUCAAGAAUCAACUUAUGUAGUCAUCCACAUUAGGCACAAUAAUCUGACCAUACAUCCGAAACACCCCAUCAUCCCAAUAGAAACCUCCUUGGCACUACUAAGUUGAACUGUGUCAUUAAGGACAAGCAAAUGGGGGUCGUCAUACUGAUACUCUCUAAUACAAUCAUAUAAAAAAGACCAAGAAACCACACAAGCUAGAACCCAACUAGGCUCCGACACAUCUAACCUCACGAACUGAUUGUCCAAGGCCUAAAUAUCUGACACAAGUGGUUUCUCACCAACAAGAAUGUAUGCAAGGUACCCAUACUCACUGCCUUUAUACUCAAGGCAUCGACCACCACAUUGGACUUCUGGGAUGAUACAAAAUGGUAAUAUCUUAGUCUUUUAACAUCUCCAACCAUAUUCACUGCCCCAAAUUUAGAUAUUUUUUCUUAAAUAAGUGCUGAAGACUCUGAUGAUCUGUAAAUACCUCACAAGACAUGUCGUAGAGAUAGUGCCUCCAAAUCUUCAAUGCAUGAACGAUGGCUACCAACUCCAAAUCAUGAAAGGGAUAGUUCUUCUUAUUAGGCUUCAACUGGAAAGAAGCAUAAGCAAUCACUCUACUUUCCUACAUCAAGACACACCCAAUACCAAUCUAAAAAUCAUCACAAUACACUGUAUAAGAACCCGAUGCUGAAGGCAAAACUAGAAUUGGAGCUCUGGUCUGGGCAGUCUUGAGUUUUUACAAGCUCUCCUCACACUUAUCCGACCACCUCAAUGGAGCAUACUUCUAGGUCAACCUGGUAGCAAUGGACGAGAAACUCUCCAUGAAGCGGCGAUUAUAUAAGUUCAAGCCUAGAAAAUGCUAAAUCUUAGUAGCUGAAGACGGUCUACGCCAACUCUGAACUGCCUCAAUCUUCUUCGAAUCGACCUUGAUCCCCUCACUAGACACCACUUCCCCAAGAAAGCCACCGAACUGAUCUAAAACUCAUACUUGGAGAACUUAGCAUAAAACUUCUCCUCCCUCAACAUAUGUUGUACAAUCCUCAGAUGUUAUGCAUGCUCCUCCUAGCUACGUGAGUACACCAGAAUAUCAUCAAUAAAUACUAUGACAAAUGAAUCAAGAUAUAGCUAGAAUACACUGUUCAUCAUAUGCAUGUAUGCUUUUGGGGCAUUGAACAUCCCAAAAGACAUCACAAGGAACUCGUAGUGACCAUAGCGGGUCCAGAAUGUUGUCUUAAUAAUAUUAGAGUCCCGAAUCUUCAACUGGUGAUACCUAGACCUCAAAUCAAUCUCAGAGAACACUCUAGCUCUCUGAAGCUGGUAAAUUAAGUCAUCAAUGCACGGCAAAUGAUACUUGUUCUUAAUUGUAACUUUGUUCAACUGCCUAUAGUCGAUGCAUAUCUGCAUUGUACCAUCAUUCUUCACAAAUAGAAUCGGUGCACCCUAAGGUGACACACUAGGCCUAAUGAACCCUUUAUCAAGAAACUCCUGAUGUUGAUCUUUCAAUUCAUUCAACUUUGCUGGUGCCAUAUGAUAUGGAGGAAUACAAAUGGCUUGAGUGUCUGUCACUAAGUCAAUACCAAAAUCAAUGUCCCUAGCGGGCGACACACUUGACAGGUCUGCAGGAAACACAUUCAAAAAGUCUUGCACUACCAGAACAGAAUCAAUAGUAGAAGUAUCAGACCCAACAUAGUUACGGUCUUAGUGUGACAAUCCAGAAUAGCAUGACAUGGGGAAAACCAAUUCAUGUCGAGAAUCACAUCAAAAUCAACCAUACUAAGCAAUAAGAGAUUAACUCUAGUCUCAAAACACCCAAUGGUUACCAUAUAUGACCUAUAUAGUUGGUCCAUAAUAAUAGAAUCGCCAUCGGCGUAGAUACAUGAACAGAUUAAACUAAGGACUCACGGGGCAUAUCCAAAUAAAGAGAAAAAUACAUUGAUACACAUGAAUAAGAGGAACUAGAGUAAAAUAGUACGGAAGCAUCCCUGUGGCACACUGAAACAAUACUUGUGAUCACUCUAUCUGAAGAAACGGCCUUUGGCCUGGCAUGGAAAGCAUAACAUCGAGCCUGACCGCCAUGUUAUGCCUCCCUCUCUGUGGCGACCUCUAGUUGCCUAAGCCCUACCUUGAGCUGGCUGAGCGGGUGGUAAAGUAAUAGGUGUGAAAGUCAUAGCCUGACUCAUUUCCUAAAUUGGACCUCACAAAAGACUGAGACAAUACCUCUUCACAUGAUCGAAGUCUCCACACUCAAAGAAACGUCGCUCUGACAAGGGCGGUAGGUACUGAAUUGGACCUCGAGAACCAAAAUAACUAAUAGGAGGACCUGGCACAGAUGAACCCUAAACUGAUGGAGCACGAGAUGAACUUUGAGCUGAGAGGGCGCUGAAAAAUGACUAACCCAGAUGAACACUAUAUGAACCAUGGCUAGCUGAUGUACCAUGAUGAACAAGAUGAGCCAUCUAAGAGUACUUAUAAGGACAACCCCUAUUAUGGUAGGACUGUCCUCCAAAAGCUACACCAUUGAAACCACCCAAAUCACGAGGCCUCUUGGCCUCCAUCUCCUCACGCUCCUGAUAACGGACCUACUCUAGCCUCCUAGCAAUAUCAACCACCUCGUCGAACCUAGCACCUGAUGCAAUCUAUGGAAUCAUGAAAAAGUGCAGUCCAUAGUUGACUCUGUCAAUAAACCUCCUAAUCCUCUCCCUCUCUGUGGGAACCAACAAAAUCGCAUGAUGAGCCAACUCUAAAAUUCUCAUCUCAUAUUGGGUAUUGGUGUAGGUGCUCAAACUGCCUACGCAACUCCUCCCUGUGGGUUUGUGGAACAAACUUCUCUAAGAAGAGAACUGAGAAUUCAUGCCACGUAAGUGGUGCAGCACCGGAUGGCUUGCUCAACUCAUAGGCCUCCAACCAUCUGAAGGCUGCCCCCGAUAGUUGAAAAGUUGUAAAUGAGACUCCACUAGUCUCCAGAAUACCUGUUGUGCGAAGGAUCCGCUGGCAUUUGUCUAAGAAGUCCUAAGCAUCCUUUGACUCAGUCCCACUGAAUGUUGGAAGCCUAAGCCUCCCAAACCGCUCUAGCCUCUUUUGCUCCUUGUCACUCGUAGGUGGACCUACCUGGGCCUGAGCAACUACAACCGGCUGAGCUGGUAGUACCCUCGAUGUCUGAAGUCGCUGCAGCACCUGCUCUAGAGUACCUACGGCGGGAGUCUGAGCACCUCCCUUACCCUGAGAAGUGGCAGUGCAGCUUGAACUGAAAUUUCCUGAGCAAUGCUAGUGCAUAUAGUCAAUAUCUGGGCCAGAGCCUCCUAAAGGCUUGGAAUCACAAUGGUCACAGCUGGUGUUAGAGCUGGUCCCCACAUCUGGCAUCUACUCCUGAGCUAUAGCAACUGGUGGCUCCACGGGUGCUCCUCUAGCUAUUGUACGAGCUCCACCUCGGCCUCUACCAUGGCACAUGCCUCUUGCAACCCUAUUUGGUGGUACUGGUGGCCAUCCGCCCGAAUCGGUAGCACUUGUCCUCACCAUUUGCGAAAGAAUAGAGUAACAAAAGUUUAUUUUCUAGAAUCAAAUCUGCACGACAAGAAUAUAAGAAAGUGAAGUUUUUUCUAAUGGUUUAAUAGCCUCUCGGAGAUAAGUACAGACGUAUCCAUGACGAUUCACAAGACUCUACUAAACCUGCUCAUGACUCGUGAGACCUACAUAACCUAGGCUAUGAUACCAACUUGUCACAACCCAAAUCUCAACAUGUCAUCAUGGAGCCAAUCACAGUACUAGGUAACCCGACGAUCACAAAAUAGCUAUGCAUUUAAAUUUAAAAGCAUGAAAAAUUAAGUUUAACAGUAAAAAAGAAAUAUUAUAAAAUAAUCUAAAGGAAUAACUGCGACUCAAAUACAAAAUCCCUAAAGAUCCGGGUAUCACCGAGUACAUGAGCUACUAUAUGAUAAAACAAAAAAUAACUUCUAAUACAACUGUCUGGAAAUAUAGAACAAUGCUAAAUAAAUUGAAAAGAGGGAGAGUCGAGGUCUACAAACGCCAAAGCAGCUACCUCAAAAGUCUCCAAACAGGUAAUGCUCCAAGUCUAGUAAGAACCGGGUCCAUAUGUACCUUGAUAUGCACAUAAAGUGUAGAGCGUAGGAUGAGUACAACUGACACAAUAAACUCAAUAAGUAACAGGAUUAACAUUAGGUUGAAAGCAGCGAUGAGCUCAGAAGGUACAGUCUAAAUCUAGAUAAUAACAGUACAAGUAUAAUAGGGAAAUGACAGCAUUACUUAGAGAAAUCUCAUUGUCAGUUUAAACGUAGUACGGAAAUGUAGACAUGCUUUCGAAUUCAAUAAUUAAGGUUAAUACCGAUAAAAUAUGCCAAAUAUAGAUAGUAUGAGAAAUGUUACAUCUCUAUGUCUACAUAAACAAAUAUGCAUGUCAGAUGCAAUGCAUCAGAAUGAUACUCACAUGUACUCACACUCUUAGAGUACUCAAUCUGACUAUCUCAACUCUCAAUCAUCACACUCAAUCACUCAGCAUUGUACGGUACCUGCGCUCACUGUUGGCAUGUUAAAUUCAGAAGGGGCAGAACUUGCCCAAGCGCAAAUAAAACCAAUUGCGGCGUGUAGCCCGAUCCCAUUACGAAUCAAUAAUACUUGAUGUGGCGGGUAGCCCGAUCCCAUAAGGAAUCAAUAAAAACCUAUUACGGCGCACAACCCGAUCCCAUUAAUAUCACUCACAAUUCGGCACUCAAGUUCCAACUUUGUCAUCAACCUUUUCAGUCUCUCGGGCUUACAAUCUCAUGCCAGUUAGGUCAAACAAUGAUAGCAUGAUAUAACAAUAAAGGGCAACAAAGACUGAGAUAUGAUAUGUUAAUAAUAAAUGUGACUGAGUAUAACAGUGCAGUUUUAGCAAAUAAUUUAACAGCAGAAAUGACCUCAAUGGUUCCAACUGAAUAAGCAUAUGGCCUAAACAUGAUUUAUACAUGGAUUGCAGCUUAUUUACUAAAACAUGUAGGGAUUACAUGAACGCCUUGGUAUUUAAUUUGCCUUCGUUCUUGAUUUUGAACUUGAAAUUGUAGCUUGUAGAGAAAUCUGCAGCCUUUGAUCCACAAGUUCUCUGCUAGCUUCUUAUUCUCAAUUCUGGUGUCUUCUAGCUUUAUAAAGACCUCUAAUUAUAGUUGUAGGGAGUGGUGUGGCUCUGCAAUUUGAUUGGUCUGUUUAAACUGACCAAUUCCAUCUAGACACUUGGCACAACUCUAUUGGUUGUUGAUUUGACUUGGUAUGCCACCAUUUCUUUACACAUGACAUGAUUGUAUUGGCUCAUUUAUUUGGCUUGGAUUGCCACGUUACUUUACACGUGGCAUGAUUUUAUUGGCUUGUUCUUUUAACUUGGAUUGGCACAUCGCUAGGCACGUGGCAUGAGCCUGGGUUUUGAGAUGGACUAAAGCCAUUUAGAACUUGGGCUAAUAAAUUGAGCUUAUCAUUUAUAGCCAAUUUAAAUGGACUAGCCCAAUGCAUUCAGACUUAAAUAAUCAAUCCAAUUAUACUAGACACAAUAUUUAUUGGGACUAUUAUAUUUAUUUUAAUAUAGUGAAAUUAUUUUAUGGAUUUAAAUCAUAUAAAAUUUAAAUACAUACAACUAGCCUUUCAGAUCUUGUAAUGAUCAAUAACAUCUCAUUCUGCCAUCUUUACUUGGUAUUUUAUUAUAUUUUCCCAAAAGGGGGAAAACAAAUUAUUUAGUGUUAUAAAUAUAUUAUAUUUUGGAUGUUCAAUUAGUACUAUGUUGUAAAUAAGCUUUCUAAAGAAGUUUAUUCAUAUGGGACUCUGCCGUAAAUAUAUUUAUCUAUUUAGUACUCCAUUGAAAAUAAGCUUUCUCAAGAAGCUUACUAUUUCGGUACUCCGUUAUGGAUAAAUAUUACCUACGGUAGAAGAUAAUCUAUAUCUGAUACGAUAACUGCUUACAAGAAGCUUGCACAACAGCUUACAGUAGGAGCUUACAAGCAUCUUACACAACAACUUGUAGUAGCAGCUUCCUUUCUUCUAUAAAUAGAAGAGAUUUCAUUUUUUAUGUACAUCAGUUUGAAGUUGAGCAGGACAAAGAAAAAGUACCUAGAGUGCAAGUUAGCGUAGUGUCAGGGGGAGCAAAUAUAGACGUGAGGCUUGAUUCACAAGUCAUCCCCAAGAGAUUAAGUUUCAAGUAUCUCGGGUCAAUUAUCCAAGGGGACGUGGAGAUUGAAGAGGAUUUCACACACCGUAUAAGGGAGGGGUUGAUGAAAUGGAAGCUAGCAUCCGGCGUUCUGUGUGACAAGAAUGUGCCACCAAAACUUAAGGGUCAAUUCUACAAGGCCGCGGUUAUACCAGCUAUGCUCUAUGGGCAGAAUGUUGGUCAUUCAAGGUGAACAUAUCCAAAAUGAGGAUAUUGUGAUGGACGUGCGGACACACUAGGUUGGUCAAGAUUAGGAAUAAGGUUAUUUGGGAGAAAGUAGGUGUGGCCCCUAUGAAAAAUAAUAUAGGUGAAGCGAGGCUUAGAUGGUUUGGGCAUGUGAGAAGGAGAAGCAUAGAUGCUCCAGCGAGGAGGUGUGAAUGGCUGGACUGACAGGUAGAAUAAGAGGUAGUGCGUGGCCUAAGAAGUAAUGGUGAUAGGUUAGCAGGAAGGACAUGGCACAACUUCAGCUUACCGAGGACAUGUCCCUUGAUAGGAGGGUAUGGAGAUUCAAGAUUAGGGUAGAAGGGUAAUAGGUUGUCGUGUGUUUUUCUUCUGAUUUGUUCCUAGUUUAUUAGGGCUAGAUGACUAGUACAUUGUCUUCGAUUCUUAGAAUGCCAGUAUUAGGGUUAUUUUAGUACUAUCUUCUGCUUCGGUUUUCUAGUACCCUGUCGUGUUACUACUUGUUGCUAUUACUUUUGCUAUUGUUGUUGCUAUUGCUACUGCUUUGUUCCAUUUAUUUUUCUUCGGUCCUUACAUUGUUGAUAUCAUUUUCCUGGCAUUGUUGUUGUUAUUUAGUUGUUCCUAUUCUUCCUCUCGAGCUAAGGGUCUUUCGCAAUAGCUUCUCUGCCCUCUUGGAUAGGGGUAAGGUCUGUGUACACAUUACCCUCCCCAAACCCCACUUGUAGGAUCUCACUGGGUUGUUGUUGUUGUUGUUAAUAUUAAAGAUCCAGUCAUACUGUGGAUUAAUUUGAAAGAUAGAUAUGACCACCUAAAGAUGAUCGUUCUUCCACAUGCACAUUAUGAUUGGACUCAUUUAAGGCUACAAGAUUUUAAAUCUAUUAGUGAGUAUAAUUCUAAUAUGUUCAGAAUUAUUUUUCAAUUGAAAUUAUGUGGUAAUAAUAUUAUUAAUCAUGAUAUAUUGGAGAAAACUUUCACCACUUUUCAUGCCUUAAAUAUGCUCCUGCAACAGCAGUAUCGAGACAUGGGAUUCAGAACGUAUUCUGAACUUAUCUCACAUCUUUUUGUAGCUGAGCAACAUAAUAGGCUAUUAAUGAAAACCCAUGAAAGUCGACCUAAUAGUUCUUGUCCAUUCCCUAAAGUGAAUGAUAUGAACUUCCACCAAGCUAAGCGCGGAAGAGGUCGUGGCCCCAGUCGUAGUCAUGGUCAUGGUCGGGGAAGAACUCUAAUCAUGAUAAUAAUAAUAAUAAUAAUAAUAAUACACCAAAGAACCCUCCUUAUCACCAGCAGUGAAAAAGGAAGGAACAAAAGAAUGAAGCGAUGCAAGCAACAAAUACGGUAAAUGCAUGUUAUAGAUGUGGAGGAAAAGGGCACUAGUCACAUACAUGUGAUACGCCAAAGUACCUGGUUGGGCUUUAUCAAGCCCCCCCUAAAGAAGACAAAGAAAAAUGUUGAAGCAAAUUUUAUUUUUGAAGAUAAUGUUGACUUCAUGCAUUUGAAUGUAGCUGAUUACUUUGCACUCUCAGAAGAAGAAACAGGAUGAAUAUGUCGAAAUUUAAAUAUUUUAUUUUUUGUUAUAUGUAUUAGAUAGUAAGAUUAUGUAAUUGUUGUACAUAAAUGGUUAUGCUUUGAUAAUGAUAUUUACUAUAAUAUUUAUUUUGUUUAUGUCAUUUUGAAGAAUAUAGAUAAUCCUCAAAUUAUGUUAGGAUCAAAGACCAAUCAUGAAGAUAUUUGUGUAAUUGGUAGUGGAACAACUCAUGCCAUAUUCAAAGACAGAAAUAUUUUUCUAAUUUGUAUAAAGAAAAAGCUAAUAUUUAUAAAAUUUAUGGUAAUAUAAGUUUGAUUAAAGGCUCCGGAGGAGCCACUAUUUUCUGUCAAAGGGAACAAAACUUAUUAUAGAUAAUGCAUUAUUUUCCUCCAGGUCCUGAAGUAACUUGUUGAGUUUUAUAGAUAUCCACCAAGAUAGGUAUUAUACUGAGACAAUAGAUGAAAUGAAUAUGGAAAAUCUUUGUAUUACAAAGCAUAUUUCAGGCAAGAAGUGCAUUGUAGAAAAGUUACUAACUUUACCUUCUAUCUUAUACUAUUCAAAGAUUAGUAUAGUUGAAGAACACUCUAUCAUAAACCAGAAGUUUACUUAUUCAAAUACUUUUUGUACUUUAGCACAGCCGUUUGGGUCAUCCUGGAUUAAUAAUGAUGAGACGAAUUACAGAAAAGUGGAGUGGGC
RNAcentral lists this long non-coding RNA (39454 nucleotides) under Nicotiana tabacum (common tobacco). RNAcentral describes it as "long non-coding RNA (NTAB_LNC000731)". Lineage: Eukaryota; Viridiplantae; Streptophyta; Magnoliopsida; Solanales; Solanaceae. The record is from RNAcentral.